GCUGGGUGUUGGAGCGAUAGGACAGAGGCCAACGCAGUCCAAGGAGAGCGUGUUGAACUACCAGGAAGCCCUGAGACAACAGAGGAACAGGAAACCAAUGACUCAGAUUAGUGACAGACUGCAAUAUUUUGACGGGAAGAGAUCAGGCGAGAGCGAAGUCAGCACUUUUCCAAGAUCCAGGAAAGAAAGGAGCGAUAAAGACAGGAGAGGAGGAAGAGGGAUUGCUACGAUGCCAAGAUCGAGGCAGAAAUGAAGGUCUAUGACCCUUGGGGAAGGGGGAUGUGGGGCCCUUCUCAGAGAUGACAGGGGAAACCUCAUCAGUACACCAUUGUUGAUUUACUCCAUAGUCAUUAGUCCUCUUUAGUUACUCUCUCUGUUCACUUUAUAGUGACUGUAAAACCAAAAUGAUAACUUCUCUGAAUUUUACUAUGACACCUUUGGUUUCAGUCCCUUUGUUAAGUCUAAACCUCUGGGUUAUUUCUCUGUCAACAUCUCUGGCCCUGGUAUGAAGAGGCAUUGUAGCUGAAUCUGUGAGUCACCACUACGUUGAAAGUGUCUCUGUAGCUGAUGACGAUGCCUCCAGGUGAUCUGAACAGAAUGCACAGGACCAAGGAGGAGGAGUACGUGAACCCAGAGUCCAGGGACAGGUGACAGCCACAGGGCUCUGUAGGCAGGAGUGGAGGACCUAACCCCAGGCAGGAGGACUGGGUACCCUCUACCCAGCGAGUAACAGCUGUCCCAGUUUGCCGGAGGCAACGUGUUCAGUGAUCAGGACACUCCACAGCAGCUCCAGGAGCAGGACACGUUCAAGCAGAGAGCCAGAAGGAUCCUUCCCCUCCUAACCCAGACAUGCAGAAGAGACUGGGCAAGCAGCUCCUUACUCCCAGACCUCUCUCUGCUGUCAGCCAGCUCUCCUCUAGGCCCAGGCACUUGACUGUGUCGAACAUCCACAGGCCCAGGCGCUAUAGCUUUAUUCUGACUCCGCUUUCAUCCCUGGAACUAUACACUCACUGUCGGUGUACGGUUGUGAACUUAACAUGCAUAUUUUAUAGUGGUGACUGUGGCGUGUUUUGAGGUGUUGGAUCAUGUUCCAUACUGUUGUGCUGUGCCCAGGUGUAGAGGGCACCCCAAUGGGGACAUGUUUGAGAUGGCACACCACCCAACUCUGGAGUAGCUGCUGUGGCUGUUCACGUCAACAUGCAGAACACCAGGGAGUUCAACCAGCUCAAAUACAGAGGUAUGACAAUGACAGUCUUUAUGCUAUUAAAAACAAUAAACUGUUUUAAGUGAGAAGUAGGCAUCAGCCUGAAGGAAAUUCACAUGAGCAUCACCAUGCCUACUACACCAAUGCUCGACCAAGGUUUUACAGCACACAGCUUUGAAGUCCAGACCCUGGACAUUAAUAACUGGACAUGAAUCUUCUCCCUCCAUUCUUCUCAUUCUCGCCCUCGCCCAGAUCAAAUAUAGAGAUGAAUUGACACCACCAUCCCAUGCAUUUAAAGACCUAUACCCAAUUUAUGAGUCCCUCUUUUCAUUGGCAAUGUCAUAUUUUUCUAGAAGAAUAACUAUGAUCCAUUCCUGUUCAGUUUGGCCGGAUGUGCAGCCCUCAUCAAGCCCCUCUGUCUCCUCUCCUCUUUGCCAUGGCAUUACUCUGAUGAGGUCAUGGGGCGACUCAUCAUUAAAGCCAUCCAUCAGUAACGGACAGUUUGGCAACGUAAACACAGGGCUGAAACUAAGGAAAUUGACUUUGAAUGGAUUCCUAGUACUGAGUUUAUGUUUGGGUCCAGAGAACACUUCCGACACGCAAACAUACAAAAACGGGGUUAGAAAAGUGGGAGAUAUAGAAGGCGUGUGUACACUGCAGGGUGAAGACAACACUGUAUGCCUGUGUGUUGAGUACACUACAGUGAGCGGACACACAUUGCUUUUGCCUGUGAGCAGAUCGUCUCUUGCUUCCAUUACUAUAGCUCACCAGAGGCCUACCUCUUCCUGUCCCUUGCGGAGGAAGAAGUCUUGUCCUCUCUGCUUGUCUAUGUUCCUCCUAGUCCAUCUGUAGCUCAGUGUUUAGACUGCAGAGUAGCUGAGUCACCAUGGCCUUGGCUCAGUCAGUAUUGACUGAUAGAGGAGGGGAGGGGUUGACAAUAGGAUUAGGUCUAGAUGCUCUUCACCCCCAUAUAAGGUCAGUGUCGAUUAUCAAUUUAAUCUUGGCCACAGCUGAACUAGUCCUGUAAGUGCACAUCACUCCCCCCUGGCUUAGCCUCUCAUCAUAAUGAGCGCUGGCCAGAGAGUCCCUCUGAUUGGCUGGUGUGGGAGGAAAUCCACUAUGAUAGGCUAAUCUGGGCCCAUCUGUACCUCUCUGGCAACAUUAGAGCUGUAUCAGUACACAUGACUACCGCAGCACUCACUGCCUGACAUCUGUGUCAUGGUGAGGAUGUGGUAAUCCUCGAUGCAGGGACUGAGUUGUGUGUGUAACAGACAGCACAUCACAUCAGGAGGUGCAUCACGUGUGCCCCCCCCCACCCCACCAGUGACAAACACAGUCUGGACAUCCAGCAGGCUCUGCUCAGGGAGCAACAACGCAAGAUCAGGAUCAUGAGGAGUCAGGUCAGACACACACUGUCUAACUCAUCUAACUUGAUUUUUAUAGGUGUCUGACGGUCUGUGUUGAUCCUCUCAGAGUGAGAAAACAAUCUGAGACCACCAAAGAGUCUCUUUAUUGGAGUCAGAGAGUGCUGUUAUUGGUGAGCCUGCUGGUCAAACAGCCUCAACACGACUUGAGUCAGUGACAGAAAAAUUGUCCCCCUGAGGAUAUGCUUACUGGAAGGAAUGAAUAGUAAUACAUUAUUACACUGAGGUGGAUAUGGGACACACACACACACACACUGCAGCCAACUGAGGGGAGGGAGGGUCAUUGGGCACCCUCUGGGUGCCUGCCAGUGCCAACACGACAUAGGCCAAGCCAUGGCGCCCACACAGCUGGUAGUAGUCCUGACAGAGCAGAAAGCCUGUGCCAGCUGCAGGGUGGUAGUAGCAUGGCCUUGGUCCGGCUGAAGGGGGAGGGAGGAGAGCAGGCAGGGAAUGUGUAUCUGAGAGUCUACCGCACAAUGCAGAAAACACUUUUUUUUUUUUAAAUGAUAUUACUGUAGAAUAACAUGAGAAGAUUGGAUAAAAUAUAAACAUAAUAUACCUCCAAUAUUGCUAUGCCUUAGUAUUUUAGUACGGCGUAGCAUUUUUAUUAGUUAAGGUUAGGAGAAAGAGACAUCAUCCCACCUUGCCUGUUAGGUGAUGUAUUGUAAAUGUGUUACAGUGUUACGUCCUCAGACGUAUGCAGGGUCCCCGUCCCAAGGGCCAGGGCAGCCCAGGUUGACCUGAGGUCCAGACAGCCCUCAGCCCGGGAGAGGAGAAGGCCUGCCAGAAGGAGAGACUUUGAGGAUGAGAAGGGCCUGUUGCUUCAGUUGAGUCAUCAUCACAUAAUUACAGUGCCACUUCAACAGUCCAUUAAUGUCCUCAAUCUGAGAAGGGCCAUGGGGAAACGUGUCUGAUAAUACACAACAGUCCCUCUUUUUUUAGGCAUUAGAAUGUCUUACAGGAUUUAUGAAAAACAAUGGCCAGUACACAUUUUCUCUGUAGUCUGUACUAACCCGUUCUGCUGUACUGACAGAUGUUUCCAUUCUGUGGCCCAGAACAUGGUGACUGCUGGUUGUCAGAGGGAUGACAAGGGCCAACCGGAUGCCUAGUCUCUGUUCUCUGUGACAAGCCUGCACGUGGAGGGGACCGCACGUACAGGCUUGUGAUAGAAUGACAAGGUUGGAUGUAAGGUCUCAAAGCACCACAAACUGCAACUUAUUCAAUGCUGCAACUCAAUAUAGGCAUUUUGAUAGAAUGUCAUGAGAAAUGCAAAUGUAGGUAUCUAAGUUAGGAUUGGGCCAUGAGGUGUCUGUCUGUUUGAAUGAUGUCUCUCUGGUCUCCAGGGGGGCUGUCAGCCGAUGAAGGGGAUGACCUCUCACUGCGGUCCACCCCGUACUACCCGGUCAGGCGUGUGUCCAUGGAGACUGUUGGCACAGAGCGCUGGCUACGGCCCAGCACGUCAGACACGCUGAAAUUGUUUGGGGCUGGUCAGAACCGGACAGAAACCCGUUACCCACAUCCUGGAUGGGAAGUGGGAUGGGCCCUCCACCUAACAUGGAUGACCCCUUUCAUCUACACAUAGGAUCCCAUUCCCUUCACAGCUUAUUACUUUUGACUAGAGUUUGAGGUCUAUAUUUUAUAUGCAGUCGAUCCCCAAUACAAAUGACAAAAUUAACAUGGUCUAUUUCUGUGUCUGCAUCAGGAGAGCAAAAAACAUCCAUAUUUGUGUUUUUAUGCAGAAAAACACCUGAAUGUUGCUUAUGCAUGUGCGAAUUGUUUAAUCAGAAACCAGGGCAAACGUCAAAUGGAGAUGAGGUAGUAGCAGAGAUAUUUCAGUCUCUGUGUACAACAGCUCCACGUAGUGAGUAGGAUCAGGGCAGCGUCAGAGAGCGGGGAAAAUCUAAAUUGUAGACUUCUUGCGUCCUCUCUCUUUGCCUCCUUCAAAAGAGAAUGUUUGAGGGGCGGGACAUCUGGCUUUCUCAUCCAAUGGGUUUUGAGAAGGAGACAGGAUGUGAGGAGUGUGCAAUUGAGACGGUCCAAGUCUGCUUGGAUAAGUGUGCAGCUAGUACACAGUGAAGAAUUACUGUCCCUGAGCUGCAUCACUCUCACUGCUGUGUGAUAUGGCUACAGCUGCAGGACUACGGUAUGGAAGAAGUAUAGGCUCUGGUCUGCUGAUGGAAGUAACUAUGGUAACCUUUUGACUGGUUUGGUCUGCUGGUGUAAGCAACUAUGGUAACCUUUUGAAUGUACUUUUGCAGAAUUAAUAUGUAUUUAAAACAUGCGAAAUGUGUAUCUGGUGUUGAAAUGUUUGUAUGUAGCAAGAAAAUGUGUGUUAAUAUACAGUAUAGAAAGAUUUGGGGUAAAAAAUAAAUAAUGUUUUUAUAAUCUU
Long non-coding RNA from Oncorhynchus tshawytscha (Chinook salmon), 5017 nucleotides. The record is from Ensembl. Lineage: Eukaryota; Metazoa; Chordata; Actinopteri; Salmoniformes; Salmonidae.